UACGGAGGAUGCGAGCGUUAUCCGGAUUUAUUGGGUUUAAAGGGUGCGUAGGCGGACGCUUAAGUCAGCGGUAAAAUUGCGGGGCUCAACCUCGUCGAGCCGUUGAAACUGGGUGCCUUGAGUGGGCGAGAAGUACCCGGAAUGCGUGGUGUAGCGGUGAAAUGCAUAGAUAUCACGCAGAACUCCGAUUGCGAAGGCAGCGUACCGGCGCCCUACUGACGCUGAAGCACGAAGGCGUGGGUAUCGAACAGG
RNAcentral lists this ribosomal RNA (252 nucleotides) under uncultured bacterium. RNAcentral describes it as "partial 16S ribosomal RNA". It matches the Rfam family "Bacterial small subunit ribosomal RNA", at positions 524 to 776 of the family's 1533-position model. The record is from RNAcentral.